This 2274-nucleotide ribosomal RNA is filed under the name Triticum aestivum (bread wheat). RNAcentral describes it as "partial small subunit ribosomal RNA". Lineage: Eukaryota; Viridiplantae; Streptophyta; Magnoliopsida; Poales; Poaceae. The record is from RNAcentral.
AUGCAUGCCAUGGCGCGAGCCGUGCACGAUCGCCUCCCGUUCCUCGCCUCGCCGGAGCCGGCGCUCGCGCCGCCGGCGCCAGCUGGGAGGCGGAGGAACCCGUCCCUCUCCGAGAUGCUCAGCCUCGUCAGCGCGGCCACCGUCGACCCGGCGGGCACGGACGACGACGGCUCCGUGUUCUCCCUCCCGAUGCCGCAGCCCGCGCCUGCCGGCGUCGGCGACAGUAAUGCGGGCGGCGAGGGGCCGGGCCGGACCAUCCAGUUCCGGCUGGCGUUCACCGACCUGACCUACAGCGUCCGGCGGGCGCGCCAUGGCGGGGACGGCGUCGGCGGCGGCGGGCUCUGCCUCCCCGUGCAGCGCCGCUCCGACCGCGUCACGGCGGCGCCCGACGCGCACGCGCCGCGGACCAAGGCGCUGCUAGCCGGCGUCUCCGGGGAGGCCAAGGAGGGCGAGAUCCUCGCCGUGAUGGGCGCCAGCGGCUCCGGCAAGUCCACGCUCAUCGACGCCCUCGCCAACCGCAUCUCCCGCGACGCGCUCAAGGGCUCCGUCACGCUCAACGGCGAGCCGCUCACGGGCAACAUCCUCAAGUCCAUGUCCGCGUACGUCAUGCAGGACGACCUGCUGUUCCCCAUGCUCACCGUCACCGAGACGCUCUCCUUCGCUGCCGACUUCCGCCUGCCGCGCUCGCUCUGCGCCGCCAAGAAACGCGCGCGCGUGCACGCGCUCAUCGACCAGCUCGGCCUCCGCGCGGCCGCCAACACCAUCAUCGGCGACGAGGGACACCGCGGGGUCUCCGGAGGCGAGCGCCGGAGGGUUUCCAUCGGUACCGACAUCAUCCACGACCCCAUCCUCCUGUUCCUCGACGAGCCCACCUCGGGCCUCGACUCCACGUCGGCGUUCAUGGUCGUCAAGGUGCUCCGCCGCAUCGCCCAGAGUGGCAGCAUUGUCAUUACCUCCAUUCACCAGCCCAGCCAGCGCAUCCUCGGCCUCCUCGACCGCCUCAUCCUCCUGUCCGGUGGCCACACCGUCUUCAGCGGAGCCCCCUCCGCCCUCCCGACCUACUUCGCCGAGUUCGGGUACCCUGUCCCCGACGACGAGAACCGCGCCGAGUUCGCGCUCGACCUCAUCCGCGAGCUCGAGGCGUCGCCGACGGGGACGAAGCCUCUCGCCGACUUCCACCGCACGUGGAAGCUCAUGCACGCGGCGAGGGACGACGCCGCGGCGUGGGCGCCGACGAUGUCGCUGAAGGAGGCCAUCAGCGCGAGCAUCUCGCGCGGGAAGCUGGUGUCUGGCGCGGACGUGUCCACCGGCGAGGCGGCGUCGAUGCACACGUACGCGAACCCGUUCUGGGUGGAGAUGAAGGUGCUGACGAAGCGGUCGGCGAUCAACACGCGGCGCAUGCCGGAGCUAUUCCUCAUCCGCCUGGGCGCCGUGGUGGUGACCGGCGCGAUCCUGGCGACCGUCUUCUUCAAGCUGGAUCAGUCGCCCAAGGGCGCGCAGGAGCGGCUCGGCUUCUUCGCCUUCGCCAUGUCCACCAUGUUCUACACCUGCGCUGACGCGCUGCCGGUGUUCCUCCAGGAGCGGUACGUGUUCCUCCGGGAGACGGCCUACGGCGCGUACCGCCACGUCUCCUACGUGCUCUCCAACGCCAUCGUCUCCUUCCCGCCGCUGGUGGUCCUGUCGCUCGCCUUCGCGCUCACCACCUUCUUCGCCGUGGGCCUGGCCGGCGGCGCGUCCGGGUUCGCCUUCUACACGCUGGCCAUCCUGGCCUCCUUCUGGGCCGGGAGCGGCUUCGUGACCUUCCUCUCCGGCGUGAUCCCGCACGUGAUGAUCGGGUACACGGUGGUGGUGGCCAUCCUCGCCUACUUCCUGCUCUUCAGCGGCUUCUUCAUCAACCGGGACAGGAUACCGGCCUACUGGCUGUGGUUCCACUACCUGUCGCUGGUCAAGUACCCGUUCGAGGGGGUGCUGCAGAACGAGUUCGCGCGCGGCGGCGAGUGCUUCGUGCGCGGCGCGCAGAUCUUCGACAACUCGCCGCUGGGGGCGCUGCCGGAGGCGGUGAAGGAGCGGGUGCUGGCGUCCAUCAGCUCGGCGCUCGGGGUCGGGAUCGGCGCCGACACCUGCGUGGCCACGGGGCGGAGCGUGCUGCGGCAGGCCGCCGUGACGCAGCUCGGCAAGUGGGAGUGCCUGCUGGUGACGGCGGCGUGGGGCUUCUUCUUCCGGAUCCUCUUCUACUUCAGUCUCGUGCUCGGCAGCAAGAACAAGAGGAGGUGA